Molecule: non-coding RNA, 25 nt
Filed under: Gossypium hirsutum (cotton)
Lineage: Eukaryota; Viridiplantae; Streptophyta; Magnoliopsida; Malvales; Malvaceae
Source: RNAcentral
UAAUGAGCCGUUGAAAGUAGGUGAC